AGCGUUGUCCGGAAUCAUUGGGCGUAAAGAGCUCGUAGGCGGUUCAGUAAGUCGGGUGUGAAAGCUCCGAGCUCAACUCGGAGAGGCCACUCGAUACUGCUGUGACUAGAAUCCAGUAGGGGAGUGUGGAACUCCUGGUGUAGCGGUGAAAUGCGCAGAUAUCAGGAAGAACACCAGCGGCGAAGGCGGCACUCUGGGCUGGUAUUGACGCUGAGGAGCGAAAGUGUGGGUAGCAAACAGGAUUAGAUACCCUGGUAGUCCACACCGUAAACGUUGGGCACUAGGUGUGGGGAGGAUCAACCCUUUCCGUGCCGUAGCUAACGCAUUAAGUGCCCCGCCUGGGGAGUACGGCCGCAAGGCUAAAACUCAAAGGAAUUGACGGGGGCCCGCACAAGCGGCGGAGCAUGUUGCUUAAUUCGAGGCAACGCGAAGAACCUUACCUAGG
This 445-nucleotide ribosomal RNA is filed under the name uncultured bacterium. Its description in RNAcentral is "bacterial SSU rRNA". It matches the Rfam family "Bacterial small subunit ribosomal RNA", at positions 537 to 979 of the family's 1533-position model. The record is from RNAcentral.